CCUACGGGCGGCAGCAGUGAGGAAUAUUGGUCAAUGGACGAGAGUCUGAACCAGCCAAGUAGCGUGAAGGAUGACUGCCCUAUGGGUUGUACACUUCUUUUAUAUGGGAAGAAAACGUUCCACGUGUGGGAUUUUGUAUGUACCCUAUGAAUAAGGAUCGGCUAACUCCGUGCCAGCAGCCGCGGUAAUCCGGAGGAUCCGAGCGUUAUCCGGAUUUAUUGGGUUUAAAGGGGGCGUAGGUGGAUUGUUAAGUCAGUUGUGAAAGUUUGCGGCUCAACCGUAAAAUUGCAGUUGAAACUGGGAGUCUUGAGUACAGUAGAGGUAGGCGGAAUGCGUGGUGUAGCGGUGAAAUGCUUAGAUAUCACGAAGAACUCCGAUUGCGAAGGCAGUUCACUGGAGCGCAACUGACACUGAGGCUCGAAAGUGUGGGUAUCAAACAGGAUUAGAUACCCGAGUAGUC
This 460-nucleotide ribosomal RNA is filed under the name uncultured bacterium. Its description in RNAcentral is "partial 16S ribosomal RNA". It matches the Rfam family "Bacterial small subunit ribosomal RNA", at positions 338 to 795 of the family's 1533-position model. The record is from RNAcentral.